AGUUCAGAUUGCAGGCUGCAACUCGCCUGCAUGAAGUCGGAAUUGCUAGUAAUCGUAGGUCAGCAUACUACGGUGAAUACGUUCCCGGGCCUUGUAUACACCGCCCGUCAAACCAUGAGAGUUGGCAACACCCGAAGUCGGUAGUCUAACCGCAAGGAGGACGCCGCCGAAGGUGGGGUUGAUGAUUAGGGUUAAGUCGUAACAAGGUACC
This 211-nucleotide ribosomal RNA is filed under the name uncultured bacterium. Its description in RNAcentral is "partial 16S ribosomal RNA". It matches the Rfam family "Bacterial small subunit ribosomal RNA", at positions 1290 to 1500 of the family's 1533-position model. The record is from RNAcentral.